Molecule: transfer RNA, 117 nt
Filed under: Nemania serpens
Lineage: Eukaryota; Fungi; Ascomycota; Sordariomycetes; Xylariales; Xylariaceae
Description: tRNA-Ile
Rfam family: tRNA
About the family: Transfer RNA (tRNA) molecules are approximately 80 nucleotides in length.
Source: RNAcentral
GUCCGAGUGACGAAGUGGUAUCGUGCCGUUCUUAUACUAUUUGGCAACUAUUUGGCGCGCGAAAUAGCAUGAUAUAUAGCAAUGCGGAAGUCGUGAGUUCGAUCCUCACCUUGGACA